UGUGCUGGGCAGCGAGGGCCGGGUAAGCCCGUUACCUGCCGGGUAACCCCGGGGGGAGCCGUGGCAGGGCUGCGGGGCUGUUGCUUUCUGGGUGUCUCAGGGUUUGCCUCGGAAUCCCAAAGCCUUUCCCCGUGCAGGGUUAGGAGGCAAGGAGUGGUCUCAGUUUCUCGGUGCUGCAUUAAUGCUUUUUGCUCCUUCUCUGUGCAGUUGUGCCCUCCCUGGGGCUCAGCUCAGGUCCGUGCCCCGCGGCUGGUGGAGUGUGGCGAGUUGUGCUUCCUGCCGGGCGGGAGCUGCCUUGGGAAGCUGCUCUGUCCCCACGGCUGUGCCGAGCUGGGAGCUUGGGCAGCAGGAUGUCGAGUGCCACCGUGUCCCUGAGGUCACCCUUUCUCCUGUUGGGAGAGCACGAGGUGGAUGGAGAGGAUCCCCAGGCAUCUGCAGGCACAAGGGACUCGUACAGCUGUGAUUUUCCUACAGCCCUUGUGAGAUGGACUUUCAGGGUACCAUGGGUAAUGUGCCAGCUCUCCUGCUGGAGCUUUUGUCUGCUGUAUGUGAACACAAAGAGUAGAACUAAAGUCAGGAGAAAAUUGGGCAAGCGGGAAGGAAGAAGAGAAGCCCCGUGACUCCUCCCUGAGCCCCAGACAGCCCCUGAACUGCCUUCCUGGGAAUGGUGGGACGGGCUGGACUCUGGAUUGCUCCCUCUGGAUGUGUGUGGGAUGUAGCCUGGAAACUCCCAAGAGCUGAGCCAUGGGAUUUAAAGGGACCAACUAAAGGAGGUGAAGAAACAAGGAAGAAGGAACUGAGGCAUCAGCCAAGCAGCACGAAGUUGCUGUGUAAGCAGUGGGAUGGAGCCUGGAAACUCCCCAGAGCUGAGCCAAGGGAUUGAAAGGGACCAACCAAGGGAGGUGAAGAAAGAAGGAAGAAGGGAACUGAGGCAGCAGCCAAGCAGCACCAAGUUCCUGUGUAAGCAGGGAAUAACUCCUGUCAGCAGCAAGGUCCCGACUGAAGUGGCAGCUGCAGUUGUUCCUGUGGUGUGGGCCAGUGGAAUUGCAGGAGAGUGGAAGAGGGCAGAACCUGUAGGUAUUACCUAUAAUCUGGGAUCUCUCCUGGUUAAGGCCAAGCCAGUAUCCUUUAAAAUCAGAAUGCCAGACUGGAUUGGUUGCAGGAACAGCUAAAUUUGCUCCUCCUGGUUUGCUUGUAGGAGGUGAAUGCAAGAACCUGCCAAGAAAACCAAUGGCCAAGGAGAAAAUCUGGAAAGCAGGAAGGAAGCAAAGAAGCCCCGUGACUCCUCCCUGAGCCCCAGCCAGCCCCUGAACUGCCUUCCUGGGAAUGGUGGGACGGGCUGGACUCUGGAUUGCUCCCUCUGGAUGUGUGUGGGAUGGAGCCUGGAAACUCCCCAGAGCUGAGUCAUGGGUUUUAAAGGGACCAACUAAGGGAGGUGAAGAAAGAAGGAAGAAGGGAACUGAGGCAUCAGCCAAGCAGCACCAAGUCACUGUGUAAGCAGGAGAAAAUGGGGCAAGCGGGAAGGAAGAAGAGAAGCCCCGUGACUCCUCCCUGAGCCCCAGCCAGCCCCUGAACUGCCUUCCUGGGAAUGGUGGGACGGGCUGGACUCUGGAUUGCUCCCUCUGGAUGUGUGGUAAGACUGUUAGGGCAACUUUUCCAACAGCCUGUAAGAAUUUGCUGCCUUGUCUAGAUGGUGCAAGGGCAGCCUUUAAGCAGCUGGAGCCUUCCCUGAGGAGAGCUCUGGGUCUGCCAGAUGUGUCAGAACUGUUGGCAGCAUCUUUGGUGGGGAGGGCAAAGAAAGGCCAAGGUGUGCAGUGACCCCCCUGAGAAGGGACUUUGAGUUAAUGGCAUCCCUGCAAGUGAAUUUUGUGGGCUGUUCCCCCUGUAGUCUCAGCUACAAUGAUGGGAAAAAUAGUUAACAGAGAGCCCCAAAAGCUGGAAAUCCUGGAGGCUCUUGGCCAACAGAGUUUGCUGAGAUCCCCCCCGAAAGAAGGACAGUGUGAUAGCUCUUGAGUGCUGGUAGGUCCUUUGAAAAGACAGCCUUGAGUGUGUCCUUAUUGUACCAGUAGGCCUUGUCCAACUCCCCAUAUUCCAGGAGAUAUACCUAUUAAAGUUUCAAAUGCUCUUCCUAAUCCUUUGUUGGCUUGAGGCUCUCCCCUGCAGGAACUGCAGGAACUCCUGGUGCCGCCUGGGCCGAUGGAUUGGACGCCCCAGCCCCUCCGUUCCUGCCCAGCCCCUGGGGCCGUGUCCAGUGGUGGCACUGCCAGCCCUGCAGGGGAAGUGGGAAGGGCCUUUGCAGGUCUUGUGGAUCACAUUUAUUGCAGUGGGAUGUAGCCUGGAAACUCCCCAGAGCUGAGCCAAGGGAUUUAAAGGGACCAACCAAGGGAGGUGAAGAAAGAAGGAAGAAGGGAACUGAGGUGUCAGCCAAGCAGCACGAAGUGGCUGUGUAAGCAGGUGAGUUGUGUUGAGGUUCCUCAGGCAGGCCCUGAGGACUUUGAGGGCUCCAGACAGAGAAGACCUGGGAAGCCUCUAGAAAGCCCCUUGGAAACCUUAUAAGGGUAGGUGUGUAUGGUGAUAAGUGUUGGGAAAUGUCCUGAAUAUGGAACAGGAUUGCAGGGAAGGAAAAUGAAUCCUCCUAUAAUGCUGCCAUAUCAGCUGCAGUGGAGACACCUCUGUGUGCCCUUUGGGAGCUGAUUGCCAGGACACCCGUGGGGCUGGGAUCAUGGCAGGGUGUUGUAAGCAAGAAAUGCCUGGCUUCUAAAACUCACCAGCUGAGUCUUUGAAACUUCUUUGAAGAGCUGAUUUCAGGCAGCAGAAUUGGCCCCCAGGAGGGACUCUGUGCCUGCUCUCCCGUGGCUCCAAGGGAUCUCUGGCCCUUCACGCCGGCACCGAGAUUUUCUCGGGAAGGGCCUCAGAUCCCCGGACCAGUCUGGGACACAGGCAAGAUCCCCCUGCAGUUUAGGACCAAAUUGGGCCCCUGGAGGGACAGUGCUGUUGGUGCCCCCUGGGUUGGGGCACCCCGAGGACUCCAGCGCGCACCGAAAGGAUUAUUCGGGGAGAUCCUCGGGGUGCCCGGCCCUGGGGAGCUCAAAGCAAGGUCCCUGCCAUGGAUUCAGGCAUUGCUGAGAGUAUCCCAGGGGUCCCUGUCCCUGCUAGACAGGGAGCUCUCUAAUGGGCUGGAAUUGGGUGAUAAAAGUGGUGCUCCAAGUGCCAGAGAAGUGUGGGAUUGGGAUUAAGAACUGAGCAGUGAGGGUCCAAUUGGCUGUUUUCUCUGGAAUGUGACUGUGAGAGCUGCAGGAGUGCCAGGUGUGUGUUCCAGUCCCCCGCAUUUGGUUUGCACAUGUCCUGGUCAGACACAGGUCCAACCUCCUCAGUCCUUAACACAAUAGAAGGAGUGUAGCUCCUUGUUUUCCUGUGUCUUUGGUGAGGUGUUGACUCAGUACCUUUCUUGGAGCUGCUGUUGGAUGAAGAGAUGCCCUCAAUUCACCUCUAAGGGCCUGGUUUUCUUCCCUGCUUUCCCAACUUGUCCAGGAGAUGGAAUUCCAGUGCUACAGAACAGAUGGCUCAUGGUGCUCCCAGAAGGAGCCUUUGUCCCUCCAGGGACACUGAGCUGGUCCAGCUGCGGCAAGAAGAGCCCUGUUGCCUGAGUGCUCUCCAGCCCCCCAGGCUGGAUCCCAACUGUCAGCCCCUGGCUCCAUCCCUUGAGAAGAUGGUGUUCCUGCAAGCCCAGCUGCUGUGCUGGUGGUCCUGUGGGUACCUCCUG
This is a long non-coding RNA of Pseudopipra pipra, 3763 nucleotides long. RefSeq lists it as uncharacterized. The transcript has 11 exons. The record is from RefSeq and is a predicted model, not a curated record. Lineage: Eukaryota; Metazoa; Chordata; Aves; Passeriformes; Pipridae.